UACUGCGAGUGAGAGGGAAAGCUCAAAUUUUAAAUCUGUUAGGUUUACCUAACCGAGUUGUAAUUUGAAGAAGCGUUUUCUGCGAAUUUGGUUAGUCCAAAUCCUUUGGAAUAAGGUAUCAUGGAGGGUGAGAAUCCCGUUCGGUUAACCAAAGCGCUUUACGAUACGCUUUCAAAGAGUCAAGUUGUUUGGGAUUGCAGCUUAAAAUGGGAGGUAAAUUUCUCCUAAGGCUAAAUAUUGGCGAGAGACCGAUAGCGAACAAGUACCGUGAGGGAAAGAUGAAAAGAACUUUGAAAAGAGAGUUAAACAGUACGUGAAAUUGUUGAAAGGGAAACGAUUAAAGUCAGUCGUACCUACGAGUAAUCAACCUACUCGAGUGCGAUUUUGUGGGUAUGUUAGAGUUUAAACCUUCAUGCUUACAAAUUGGUGCUCUUUGGGCGUACUUUCUCGUAUGGUAGGUUAACAUCAAUUUCGAUCGUUAUAAAAUGACUGGAGGAAUGUAGCUUCGACCUCGGUUGAAGUGUUAUAGCCUUUGGUAGAUGUAAUGAUUGGGAUUGAGGAUUGCAACGGAUACCCUCUGGGCUAUUCGUCUGAUCUCUGGAAGUUACCUUGGUGUCGAAAGCGUGCUUACGAUAUUAAGGUUGACGGCCAAUAGNNNGAACGUGAUAAAUCGUAAGG
Molecule: ribosomal RNA, 678 nt
Filed under: Glomeromycotina sp. OTU3 DJMC-2012
Lineage: Eukaryota; Fungi; Glomeromycota
Description: eukaryotic LSU rRNA
Rfam family: Eukaryotic large subunit ribosomal RNA
Source: RNAcentral